AACGCACAUUGCGCCCGCUAGUAUUCUGGCGGGCAUGCCUGUUCGAGCGUCAUUUCAACCCUCAAGCCCUGCUUGGUGUUGGGGACCUGCGGUACGCCGCAGGCCCUGAAAAUCAGUGGCGGGCUCGCUAUAACUCCGAGCGUAGUAACUUAUCUCGUUCUGGAAGAGUGGCGGGUUCCGGCCGUUAAACCCCUUAUUUUUUAAAGGUUGACCUCGGAUCAGGUAGGAAUACCCGCUGAACUUAA
RNAcentral lists this unclassified non-coding RNA (245 nucleotides) under uncultured fungus. RNAcentral describes it as "sequence contains ITS2". The record is from RNAcentral. Lineage: Eukaryota; Fungi.